UAACAUUAAUCCUCAUGACUUGUAGAUUGUGGCUCAAGCUUAUUUGCUUUAAACUCAAGUUCACCAUCCAAAACGUCGAUCACAACAUUUUCGUCCGACUUAAUUUCUCCCUGAAUAAUUUUCAUCGCCAUUGUGUUCAAAAUACGCUUCUGUAUUAAGCGAUUCAAAGGUCUAGCGCCAUACGCUGGAGAAUAACCUUUUUCAGCAAGCCAUUUGCGAGCUGCUUCUGUAACUGUAAGGAUUAUACGACGGUCAUUAAGACGUUGUUGAACUUCGUCCAAACGAACGUUUACUAUGUCUUCAAGGUUCUUUUCCGAUAAUUUGUUGAAAACAAUUUGGUCGUCAAUUCUGUUCAAAAAUUCAGGAGGAUAAUAUUUCUGUACAACAUCCAUAACGGCAUCCCUGGAUUUGGGGGUGACAGUAGUACUAGGAUCAGCAACCAAGAUAUCGCUUCCCAAAUUCGAGGUCAUAACAAUCAAGGUAGAUCGGAAAUCCACUUUACGUCCUUGUGAAUCGGUCAAAAAUCCUUCGUCUAGUACUUGUAGAAGAAGGUUGGUAAUAUCAUGAUGCGCUUUUUCUAAUUCGUCAAACAAAAGUACGGCGUAUGGUUUGCGACGCACAGCUUCAGUCAACUCUCCAGAUUCUUCAUAACCAAUAUAUCCAGGAGGACUACCAAUCAGACGCGCAAUUGUAUGUUUCUCCUGAAACUCGGACAUAUCAAAACGAAUCAUAGCCUUGUCAGUGUCAAAUAGAAACUCUGCUAAAGCUUUGGUAAGUGCAGUCUUACCUACACCGGUAGGUCCAAGGAAAAGGAAUGAUGCCAAAGGUCUGUUGGUGUUUUGGAGACCUGCGCGUGAUAAACGAACUGCAUCGGCUAUCGCUUUCAAAGCUUCGUCCUGACCAAUAAUCUUCUUGCCAAUAGUUUGUUCCAUAUUAAGGAGCUUGUCUCUUUCACCACGCAUUAAAUUAGUGGUAGGAAUUCCUGUCGCCCUUGAUACAACAACCGCAAUAUCAUCGCUAGUAACCGAAUCAUGUACCAUGGAUGGCUUCUUUUCUUCAAGCGUUUUCUCUUCCUUUGGAACACUACGCUCCAAUUCAGGAAUAAUCGCAUAUUGGAGCUCAGAAGCACGGGCAUAAUUACCUUCACGUU
Non-coding RNA from Schizosaccharomyces pombe (fission yeast), 1150 nucleotides. The record is from the annotation of a GenBank genome assembly. NCBI's taxonomy places the organism in Eukaryota, Fungi, Ascomycota, Schizosaccharomycetes, Schizosaccharomycetales, Schizosaccharomycetaceae.